UGCAAGUCGAGCGGAUGAAUGGAGCUUGGUUCCCGAUUCUUCGGCGGAUGGGUGAGUAAUGCCCAUGAAUCUUCUGGGUAUUGGGGGACAACGUUCCUUUGAGACCGCACCUAAUACCGUUAUCCUUCUUUACACAGUGGGGAAUCUACGGACCUCCCGCUUUCACAUGCACCUAGGUAUGAUUCCCUGGCGCAUUGGGUAAUGGCUCACCUAAGGCACCAUCCGUACCAGGACUCAUAGCCUGACGGAACUGUGGAUCACUGACACUGGGUCUGAUAGCCUACCCAAAGUCCCACUGGAGAAUAUUGUACUGAAUCCUAAUCCCUGAUCCACACGCGCCGCGAGUGUGAACAAGGGAAUCAGAUUGGACCUCAAGUCGUAUUGGUAGGAAGGUCAGUAAGUUAAUACCUUGCUGUUUUGACUUUUCCCAUGAAAUAACCUCCGGCUAAAUUCAGGCCUAACUCCGCGGUAAUACUAACGGUGAUAGCGUUGUUCUUAAUUACUGGGGGUAUUAUUGGCGUUUAUGGUUUGGUAACAUGGAUGUUAAAUCCCAGGGAUCGCCCUGGGAUCUGCAUUGCUAAUUGCCUGAUAAGAGGACGGACAAGGGUGAUGUAAUGUAACGGGUAUUUGCUGAGUGAUUACAUGAAGUACCGAUUGCUAAAGGAACAUGCUACUACUUGGCUGGUUCCUGAGCUGGAAAUGUAGCAGAGCGAAGAGGACUUGAGACUCAAUAAGUUGUAGGUCCAAGGACUGAACACUACCUAUUGGAGGAAGGUUUACUGGUAAAGAGACAGGGACAUAUAUCGCUCCAGCUAAGACCUAAGGCGAGUACGACGAUCAGAGGAAUUGACAGCUGGACUCUCAUGGAUUGACGCGUGCUUUAACUCGAUGAUAGCAUAGAACUUACCUGGCCUUGACAUGUCCGGAAUACUGCAGAGAUGCGGGAGUGCCUUCGGGAAUCGGAACACAGGUGCUGCAUGGCUGUCGUCAGCUCGUGUCGUGAGAUGUUGGGUUAAGUCCCGUAACGAGCGCAACCCUUGUCCUUAGUUACCAGCACCUUAAGGUGGGCACUCUAAGGAGACUGCCGGUGACAAACCGGAGGAAGGUGGGGAUGACGUCAAGUCAUCAUGGCCCUUACGGCCAGGGCUACACACGUGCUACAAUGGUCGGUACAGAGGGUUGCCAAGCCGCGAGGUGGAGCUAAUCCCAGAAAACCGAUCGUAGUCCGGAUCGCAGUCUGCAACUCGACUGCGUGAAGUCGGAAUCGCUAGUAAUCGUGAAUCAGAAUGUCACGGUGAAUACGUUCCCGGGCCUUGUACACACCGCCCGUCACACCAUGGGAGUGGGUUGCUCCAGAAGUAGCUAGUCUAACCGCAAGGGGGACGGUU
This 1388-nucleotide ribosomal RNA is filed under the name Pseudomonas sp. PG-2010-1. RNAcentral's name for it is "partial 16S ribosomal RNA". It matches the Rfam family "Bacterial small subunit ribosomal RNA". Lineage: Bacteria; Pseudomonadati; Pseudomonadota; Gammaproteobacteria; Pseudomonadales; Pseudomonadaceae. The record is from RNAcentral.